This 1953-nucleotide ribosomal RNA is filed under the name Dalyat mirabilis. RNAcentral describes it as "SSU rRNA". It matches the Rfam family "Eukaryotic small subunit ribosomal RNA". Lineage: Eukaryota; Metazoa; Arthropoda; Insecta; Coleoptera; Carabidae. The record is from RNAcentral.
UUGUCUCAAAGAUUAAGCCAUGCAUGUCUCAGUACAAGCCAAAUUAAGGUGAAACCGCGAAAGGCUCAUUAAAUCAGUUAUGGUUCCUUAGAUCGUACCCACAUUUACUUGGAUAACUGUGGUAAUUCUAGAGCUAAUACAUGCAAACAGAGCUCCGACCGGAGACGGAAGGAGUGCUUUUAUUAGAUCAAAACCAAUCGGCGGCGGGUCUGUUUUAUACAGUCACGUUUGUCGGAUUAUUUGGUGACUCUGAAUAACUUUAUGCUGAUCGCAUGGUCUUGCACCGGCGACGCAUCUUUCAAAUGUCUGCCUUAUCAACUGUCGAUGGUAGGUUCUGCGCCUACCAUGGUUGUAACGGGUAACGGGGAAUCAGGGUUCGAUUCCGGAGAGGGAGCCUGAGAAACGGCUACCACAUCCAAGGAAGGCAGCAGGCGCGCAAAUUACCCACUCCCGGCACGGGGAGGUAGUGACGAAAAAUAACGAUACGGGACUCAUCCGAGGCCCCGUAAUCGGAAUGAGUACACUUUAAAUCCUUUAACGAGGACCAAUUGGAGGGCAAGUCUGGUGCCAGCAGCCGCGGUAAUUCCAGCUCCAAUAGCGUAUAUUAAAGUUGCUGCGGUUAAAAAGCUCGUAGUUGAAUUUGUGUCCCGUGCUGUCGGUUCACCGCCCGCGGUGUUUAACUGGCACGAUCACGGGACGUCCUGCCGGUGGGUGUUACGUACAUUAAUUUUCAUUCUUCGGAGUGUUUAUAUUGUCGUCACCCUACAAAUUAAUCCUGUCACGGUGCUCUUAAUUGAGUGUCGAGAUGGGCCGGCACGUUUACUUUGAACAAAUUAGAGUGCUCAAAGCAGGCUAAAAUUACGCCUGAAUACUGUGUGCAUGGAAUAAUGGAAUAGGACCUCGGUUCUAUUUUGUUGGUUUUCGGAACCCCGAGGUAAUGAUUAAUAGGGACAGAUGGGGGCAUUCGUAUUGCGACGUUAGAGGUGAAAUUCUUGGAUCGUCGCAAGACGGACUUAAGCGAAAGCAUUUGCCAAAGAUGUUUUCAUUAAUCAAGAACGAAAGUCAGAGGUUCGAAGGCGAUCAGAUACCGCCCUAGUUCUGACCAUAAACGAUGCCAGCUAGCGAUCCGCCGACGUUCCUCCGAUGACUCGGCGGGCAGCUUCCGGGAAACCAAAGCUUUUGGGUUCCGGGGGAAGUAUGGUUGCAAAGCUGAAACUUAAAGGAAUUGACGGAAGGGCACCACCAGGAGUGGAGCCUGCGGCUUAAUUUGACUCAACACGGGAAACCUCACCAGGCCCAGACACUGGAAGGAUUGACAGAUUGAGAGCUCUUUCUUGAUUCAGUGGGUGGUGGUGCAUGGCCGUUCUUAGUUGGUGGAGCGAUUUGUCUGGUUAAUUCCGAUAACGAACGAGACUCUAGCCUGUUAACUAGGCGUUACUUACCGGUAUCUCGAAGGCUCGCGUCUCUCGUAUUCGACUUGUAUUCGUCAUGUGUUACAUUUUCGUUUCGAUGAAUGUGUGUCAUAUGUAUAGUGCAUGCUUGAUCGGGAGUUCGCGGUUUUUACUACCGGCGUACAAUUGAAUCUUCUUAGAGGGACAGGCGGCUUCUAGCCGCACGAGAUUGAGCAAUAACAGGUCUGUGAUGCCCUUAGAUGUUCUGGGCCGCACGCGCGCUACAAUGAAGGAAUCAGCGUGUCCUCCCUGGCCGAAUGGUCCGGGUAACCCGCUGAACCCUCCUUCGUGCUAGGGAUUGGGGAUUGCAAUUAUUCCCCAUGAACGAGGAAUUCCCAGUAAGCGCGAGUCAUAAGCUCGCGUUGAUUACGUCCCCUGCCCUUUGUACACCACCGCCCGUCGCUACUACCGAUUGAAUGAUUUAGUGAGGUCUUCGGACCGGUACGCGGUAGCGUUUCGACGUCGCCGAUGUCGCUGGGAAGAUGACCAAACUUGAUCAUUU